Molecule: ribosomal RNA, 447 nt
Filed under: uncultured bacterium
Lineage: Bacteria
Description: SSU rRNA
Rfam family: Bacterial small subunit ribosomal RNA
Source: RNAcentral
AGAGCGAACGCUGGCGGCAGGCCUAACACAUGCAAGUCGAGCGCCCGUAGCAAUACGGGAGCGGCAGACGGGAUAGUAACACGUGGGAACGCGCCCUUCGGUUCGGAAUAACUCAGGGAAACUUGAGCUAAUACCGGAUACGCCCUUACGGGGAAAGAUUUAUUGCCGAAGGAACGGCCCGCGUCCGAUUAGCUAGUUGGUGAGAUAAUGGCUCACCAAGGCGACGAUCGGUAGCUGGUCUGAGAGGAUGACCAGCAUCACUGGGACUGAGACACGGCCCAGACUCCUACGGGAGGCAGCAGUGGGGAAUAUUGGACAAUGGGCGCAAGCCUGAUCCAGCCAUGCCGCGUGGAUGAUGAAGGCCUUAGGGUUGUAAAGUCCUUUUAACGGGGAAGAUAAUGACGGUACCCGUAGAAUAAGCCCGGCUAACUUCGUGCCAGCAGCCGC